Molecule: ribosomal RNA, 1161 nt
Filed under: Escherichia coli
Lineage: Bacteria; Pseudomonadati; Pseudomonadota; Gammaproteobacteria; Enterobacterales; Enterobacteriaceae
Description: partial 23S ribosomal RNA
Rfam family: Bacterial large subunit ribosomal RNA
Source: RNAcentral
GGGUUGUGAGGUUAAGCGACUAAGCGUACACGGUGGAUGCCCUGGCAGUCAGAGGCGAUGAAGGACGUGCUAAUCUGCGAUAAGCGUCGGUAAGGUGAUAUGAACCGUUAUAACCGGCGAUUUCCGAAUGGGGAAACCCAGUGUGUUUCGACACACUAUCAUUAACUGAAUCCAUAGGUUAAUGAGGCGAACCGGGGGAGCUGAAACAUCUAAGUACCCCGAGGAAAAGAAAUCAACCGAGAUUCCCCCAGUAGCGGCGAGCGAACGGGGAGCAGCCCAGAGCCUGAAUCAGUAUGUGUGUUAGUGGAAGCGUCUGGAAAGGCGCGCGAUACAGGGUGACAGCCCCGUACACAAAAAUGCACAUGCUGUGAGCUCGAUGAGUAGGGCGGGACACGUGGUAUCCUGUCUGAAUAUGGGGGGACCAUCCUCCAAGGCUAAAUACUCCUGACUGACCGAUAGUGAACCAGUACCGUGAGGGAAAGGCGAAAAGAACCCCGGCGAGGGGAGUGAAAAAGAACCUGAAACCGUGUACGUACAAGCAGUGGGAGCACGCUUAGGCGUGUGACUGCGUACCUUUUGUAUAAUGGGUCAGCGACUUAUAUUCUGUAGCAAGGUUAACCGAAUAGGGGAGCCGAAGGGAAACCGAGUCUUAACUGGGCGUUAAGUUGCAGGGUAUAGACCCGAAACCCGGUGAUCUAGCCAUGGGCAGGUUGAAGGUUGGGUAACACUAACUGGAGGACCGAACCGACUAAUGUUGAAAAAUUAGCGGAUGACUUGUGGCUGGGGGUGAAAGGCCAAUCAAACCGGGAGAUAGCUGGUUCUCCCCGAAAGCUAUUUAGGUAGCGCCUCGUGAAUUCAUCUCCGGGGGUAGAGCACUGUUUCGGCAAGGGGGUCAUCCCGACUUACCAACCCGAUGCAAACUGCGAAUACCGGAGAAUGUUAUCACGGGAGACACACGGCGGGUGCUAACGUCCGUCGUGAAGAGGGAAACAACCCAGACCGCCAGCUAAGGUCCCAAAGUCAUGGUUAAGUGGGAAACGAUGUGGGAAGGCCCAGACAGCCAGGAUGUUGGCUUAGAAGCAGCCAUCAUUUAAAGAAAGCGUAAUAGCUCACUGGUCGAGUCGGCCUGCGCGGAAGAUGUAACGGGGCUAAACCAUGCAC